RNAcentral lists this ribosomal RNA (310 nucleotides) under uncultured Rhodococcus sp. Its description in RNAcentral is "bacterial SSU rRNA". It matches the Rfam family "Bacterial small subunit ribosomal RNA", at positions 1074 to 1382 of the family's 1533-position model. The record is from RNAcentral. Lineage: Bacteria; Bacillati; Actinomycetota; Actinomycetes; Mycobacteriales; Nocardiaceae.
GUUGGGUUAAGUCCCGCAACGAGCGCAACCCUACUCUUAUGUUGCCAGCACGUUAUGGUGGGGACUCGUAAGAGACUGCCGGGGUCAACUCGGAGGAAGGUGGGGACGACGUCAAGUCAUCAUGCCCCUUAUGUCCAGGGCUUCACACAUGCUACAAUGGCCAGUACAGAGGGCUGCGAGACCGUGAGGUGGAGCGAAUCCCUUAAAGCUGGUCUCAGUUCGGAUCGGGGUCUGCAACUCGACCCCGUGAAGUCGGAGUCGCUAGUAAUCGCAGAUCAGCAACGCUGCGGUGAAUACGUUCCCGGGCCUU